AUUGAACGCUGGCGGCAUGCCUUACACAUGCAAGUCGAACGGUAACAGGUUAAGCUGCCGAGUGGCGAACGGGUGAGUAAUGUAUCGGAACGUGCCCAGUCGUGGGGGAUAACUGCUCGAAAGAGCAGCUAAUACCGCAUACGACCUGAGGGUGAAAGCGGGGGAUCGCAAGACCUCGCGCGAUUGGAGCGGCCGAUAUCAGAUUAGGUAGUUGGUGAGGUAAAGGCUCACCAAGCCGACGAUCUGUAGCUGGUCUGAGAGGACGACCAGCCACACUGGGACUGAGACACGGCCCAGACUCCUACGGGAGGCAGCAGUGGGGAAUUUUGGACAAUGGGCGCAAGCCUGAUCCAGCCAUGCCGCGUGCGGGAAGAAGGCCUUCGGGUUGUAAACCGAUUUUGUCAGGGAAGAAAAGGUUCUGGCUAAUACCUGGGACUCAUGACGGUACCUGAAGAAUAAGCACCGGCUAACUACGUG
This 477-nucleotide ribosomal RNA is filed under the name uncultured bacterium. RNAcentral describes it as "partial 16S ribosomal RNA". It matches the Rfam family "Bacterial small subunit ribosomal RNA", at positions 30 to 507 of the family's 1533-position model. The record is from RNAcentral.